UAGAAUCGGAUUAUUUAUUAU
Molecule: non-coding RNA, 21 nt
Organism: Caenorhabditis elegans
Lineage: Eukaryota; Metazoa; Nematoda; Chromadorea; Rhabditida; Rhabditidae
Source: Ensembl